CCUACGGGAGGCAGCAGUGGGGAAUAUUGGGCAAUGGAGGAAACUCUGACCCAGCGACGCCGCGUGCGGGAUGAAGGCCUUCGGGUUGUAAACCGCUUUCAGCAGGGAAGAAGCGAAAGUGACGGUACCUGCAGAAGAAGCACCGGCUAACUAUGUGCCAGCAGCCGCGGUAAUACAUAGGGUGCAAGCGUUGUCCGGAAUUAUUGGGCGUAAAGAGCUCGUAGGUGGUUCGUCACGUCGGAUGUGAAAAUCUGGGGCUUAACCCCAGACCUGCAUUCGAUACGGGCGAGCUUGAGUAUGGUAGGGGAGUCUGGAAUUCCUGGUGUAGCGGUGGAAUGCGCAGAUAUCAGGAGGAACACCAAUGGCGAAGGCAGGACUCUGGGCCAUUACUGACACUGAGGAGCGAAAGCGUGGGGAGCGAACAGGAUUAGAUACCCUGGUAGUCCACGCCGUAAACGGUGGGCACUAGUUGUGGGGACCUUCCACGGUCUCUGCGACGCAGCUAACGCAUUAAGUGCCCCGCUGGGGNGACGANGCAGAUAAACUACAANAGAUAGAGCGNGAGAGUGCGACGACGACGACGAGGGAGAGG
RNAcentral lists this ribosomal RNA (592 nucleotides) under uncultured bacterium. RNAcentral's name for it is "bacterial SSU rRNA". The stretch from base 1 to 524 matches the Rfam family "Bacterial small subunit ribosomal RNA", at positions 338 to 873 of the family's 1533-position model. The record is from RNAcentral.